RNAcentral lists this ribosomal RNA (331 nucleotides) under uncultured fungus. Its description in RNAcentral is "partial small subunit ribosomal RNA". It matches the Rfam family "Eukaryotic small subunit ribosomal RNA", at positions 30 to 374 of the family's 1831-position model. The record is from RNAcentral. Lineage: Eukaryota; Fungi.
GCUUGUCUCAAAGAUUAAGCCAUGCAUGUCUAAGUAUAAACAAAUCUAUACGUGAAACUGCGAAUGGCUCAUUAUAUCAGUUAUAGUUUAUUUGAUGGUUCAUACUACUUGGAUAACCGUAGUAAUUCUAGAGCUAAUACAUGCGUCAAAACCCAACUUCUGGGAGGGUUGUAUUUAUUAGAUGGAAACCAAUGCGGGGUAACCCGGAAUAUGGUGAUUCAUAAUAACUUUCGGAUCGAUUUAUCGAUGCAUCAUUCAAGUUUCUGCCCUAUCAGCUUUGGAUGGUAGGGUAUUGGCCUACCAUGGCUUUAACGGGUAACGGAGAAUUAGG